This is a long non-coding RNA of Penaeus monodon (black tiger shrimp), 307 nucleotides long. RefSeq lists it as uncharacterized. The transcript has 3 exons. The record is from RefSeq and is a predicted model, not a curated record. Lineage: Eukaryota; Metazoa; Arthropoda; Malacostraca; Decapoda; Penaeidae.
CACAGCUGCCUUCUCGCCAUGAAGUUUCUACAUCUAUUCGUGCUUGCCGUCUGCGUGCUUGCAAUGGCUCUGCCCUCAUUGGCUCACCCGGAACCGCAGAGUAUAAAUAGCGUUUUAGCAAGGCUGAGAAACGGAGGGAUUUUCCAUCCUGGACUCGUGAAUCCUACCUUGGCCAGACUCGGAUUUCGUGGAUAGGUCAUCCUCCGGCCACCCUGAGACCAUCCUUCUAUCCCUGGUCACGUCCACCGCAACGGAUGAAGGGUUUCGAAUAAAAUUUUUAAAAAAUCAUUCUUUUCUUUUCUUUUCC